Molecule: ribosomal RNA, 468 nt
Filed under: uncultured bacterium
Lineage: Bacteria
Description: partial 16S ribosomal RNA
Rfam family: Bacterial small subunit ribosomal RNA (bases 48-468)
Source: RNAcentral
GGGGGGGGGGGGGGGGGGGGUGGGGGGGGGGGGGGCGGGCGGGGGGGGCGGGCGGGGGGGGGGUGCUCGAGGGGCGGACGGGUGGGUAACACGUGAGUAACCUGCCCUUGACUUUGGGAUGACUUCAGGAAACUGGGGCUAAUACCGGAUAGGAGCUCCGGCUGCAUGGUGGGGGUUGGAAAGUUUCGGCGGUUGGGGAGGGACGCGCGGCUGAUCAGCUUGUUGGUGGGGUAGUGGCUUACCAAGGCUUUGACGGGUAGCCGGCCUGAGAGGGAGACCGGCCACAUUGGGACUGAGAUACGGCCCAGACUCCUACGGGAGGCAGCAGUGGGGAAUAUUGCACAAUGGGCGGAAGCCUGAUGCAGCAACGCCGCGUGCGGGAUGACGGCCUUCGGGCUGUAAACCGCUUUCGCCUGUGACGAAGCGUGAGUGACGGUAAUGGGUAAAGAAGCACCGGCUAACUACGUG